UACGUAGGGUGCGAGCGUUAAUCGGAAUUACUGGGCGUAAAGCGUGCGCAGGCGGUUUCGUAAGCUGGAGGUGAAAUCCCCGGGCUUAACCUGGGAAUGGCCUUCAGGACUGCGAGGCUAGAGUGCGGCAGAGGGAGGUGGAAUUCCACGUGUAGCAGUGAAAUGCGUAGAGAUGUGGAGGAACACCGAUGGCGAAGGCAGCCCCCUGGGCCAGCACUGACGCUCAUGCACGAAAGCGUGGGGAGCAAACAGGAUUAGAAACCCCUGUAGUCC
Molecule: ribosomal RNA, 273 nt
Filed under: uncultured Nitrosomonadales bacterium
Lineage: Bacteria; Pseudomonadati; Pseudomonadota; Betaproteobacteria; Nitrosomonadales
Description: partial 16S ribosomal RNA
Rfam family: Bacterial small subunit ribosomal RNA
Source: RNAcentral